Cavia porcellus (domestic guinea pig) is the source of this 387-nucleotide long non-coding RNA. RefSeq lists it as uncharacterized. The transcript is spliced from 2 exons. The record is from RefSeq and is a predicted model, not a curated record. Lineage: Eukaryota; Metazoa; Chordata; Mammalia; Rodentia; Caviidae.
GGCCCGUGUGUUACAUCAUCUCCACACACGGGCGUUUCCACGGCAACCGCUUAUAGCUUCAUUUCCUGGAUCCCUCUAGGGGGUGUCACAGCCAGAUCCACCUGCUUUUCACCCUACCCUCGGUGGGGUCAUGGGUUAUCUGAUGGAGGUCAGGGGACCACAAAAGUCUGUCCCUGUGGGAAAAAUAAGCAUCAGGAAGAGUGAACACAAGAGCCUGGUAUCACUAAGGAAUGUGGUCCAAUCUUGGACUGUGCAAGCACAAGAGUUGGAACAGGAAAGACGGGAGCGGGCUGCUGGGAUGGAGACGGCAUGGCUUUUCCAGGAACCGGCCACGCCUUGCCAGAGCAGCCUGUUUGUGUACAGUGAAAAAUAACAAUUUGAAUGUUU